RNAcentral lists this transfer RNA (53 nucleotides) under Barnesiella intestinihominis. RNAcentral describes it as "tRNA-Leu". It matches the Rfam family "tRNA", at positions 20 to 71 of the family's 71-position model. Rfam says of the family: Transfer RNA (tRNA) molecules are approximately 80 nucleotides in length. The record is from RNAcentral. Lineage: Bacteria; Pseudomonadati; Bacteroidota; Bacteroidia; Bacteroidales; Barnesiellaceae.
AGAGCAUCUGACUGUUAAUCAGAGGGUCGUUGGUUCAAGUCCAACCUGAAGAG